AUCCUGCUAUAUCCUUUAAAGACGUGUGAGACUCCCUCACUUCACUUACGAAUUAGCAGUGGAGACGACUGGAUGUCCUAUCAGCUUUGUGCUCUGGAACAAGGAAAUAAAGUUCUUAUUUUCACGUGGAAAACCCGGAGAAGCCUAAAUUACUCGGUCAUCCAAGAGUAUUGUUGGAGUUUUAUAUUUCUCCCAUCCUCGUGCUUCCAGUUCCGAUCGGGAAAUCUUUUGAUGGAUGGAAAUUCGGAGAAGUUUGGGACAUGUGUAUAUACUGUUUUCUUGGGCCCAGACAGGGUUGCAUGAGUGAGACCUUUGUUAAUGUGAAUCGUCAGGCCCAAGGUGUUGUAUCCCUUUUGACCAUUUUAGUUAGUUCUUCAAAAGAAGCAAAUGGAAGUGGAUGUGCCUUCGUGAGCAUACGAAUAAAAUCAUUUACUUCACUUCACAGAUAAAUAGUAUUGCAAAUAAUUACCUCCUUUAAUUUAGUUUGAUGUCUAGAUCUUGGUCUUCGACAGUUGCUUUCUAGUCAAGGAUUCAAUAUAGUUUGAUAAGCAGUGGUUUGCUCGAGAGAUCGGUCGACAGUGUCCCUCGCUCUUGGUUCGUCCAGGAUGAGAGGUCUGCCCCAAAGACAAGGCCCUUUUGCCCAGGGGGUUGGCCACAUGUUGGGCUGUUUAGGUAAUCUGCUAGGGUUUUCCCAAAUAAUCCCAUGGGCUUCACCCAAACCAUUUACUUAUCAUUUCCGAGAUCUGUCCGACACUUGGGACAAUUUACCCGGUCAUAAAUGAACCUUUGGGCCCUUCAGGCUCAUUCCUGCCGUUAAGAGAAGCUCCUCGGUCUGCCAAAACCGUAAUAAACCCUCGGGAGAUCCCCAGAAAUUUCUCCAUGACACCACAACACAACCUUCAGGCUUCCUUCAGGCCCUCCACCUUUCCUUGCAUCCUCCGGUGUAUAAAACGGAGGACAUGCAAACAUUAAUUAGUUAAAAAUACACAGUAGAGAGCAGAAUAUCUACUUUAGAAAAUCUCCAAGUGUCAUCUUACUUAUAAGUUUCCAUACGAUUUUUAAUAAUAAAUAUCUGUUUCUUCCCAUAUAAAACUGUGUGUAUAAAUUUAUUAUUCGGGAAUACAACAACAUUUACAUAAUAAACUGUAAACAGCGGGAAGGGCAGGAAAAAUAAUGUGAAAGAAAGAGAACAUUUGAAACAUCAAAGAAAUAAACUGAAUUGAGGUGAAUGCAUUUAUGUAAUGUAAUUUUCCCUUAUUAUUUUUUAUUAUAAUAUGAAAAUAAAAUUUUACAAAAAUGCUAGCACACAUGCUUGAUUACUUCACUCCUCAAAUAGAGAAAAAAAUGCGCAUUCAUGUAAUUCCAAGAAAACUUUCAAUACAGAAACUGAUACACUCGCCGAGUGCACAAUCAUAUAAUCUGUAGGUUGUAAAAUAACUAAUUAUGUAUACUCACGGCGUGUUUCAAAGUCUCAAUAUGUGAUUCUUUCAACACACCAAAAUUGCAUGGAAUUUCAUGCUGAUGUCGUAGAAAUUCCUUAUUUGGAGAGAUUUUAUUCCAGCUAUAUAAGAAAAAUGGAUAAAUCAGUAUGAAUACUUUUGUUAAAUGCCCGUAUUCUAGUUCAUCAAUUCUCAUCAUGUGGCUUU
This is a long non-coding RNA of Diachasmimorpha longicaudata, 1646 nucleotides long. RefSeq lists it as uncharacterized. The transcript has 4 exons. NCBI's taxonomy places the organism in Eukaryota, Metazoa, Arthropoda, Insecta, Hymenoptera, Braconidae. The record is from RefSeq and is a predicted model, not a curated record.